Molecule: ribosomal RNA, 492 nt
Filed under: uncultured bacterium
Lineage: Bacteria
Description: partial 16S ribosomal RNA
Rfam family: Bacterial small subunit ribosomal RNA
Source: RNAcentral
AGUGAACGCUGGCGGUAGGCCUAACACAUGCAAGUCGAACGGCAGCACAGUAAGAGCUUGCUCUUACGGGUGGCGAGUGGCGGACGGGUGAGGAAUACAUCGGAAUCUACUUUUUCGUGGGGGAUAACGUAGGGAAACUUACGCUAAUACCGCAUACGACCUACGGGUGAAAGCAGGGGAUCUUCGGACCUUGCGCGAUUGAAUGAGCCGAGGUCGGAUUAGCUAGUUGGCGGGGUAAAGGCCCACCAAGGCGACGAUCCGUAGCUGGUCUGAGAGGAUGAUCAGCCACACUGGAACUGAGACACGGUCCAGACUCCUACGGGAGGCAGCAGUGGGGAAUAUUGGACAAUGGGCGCAAGCCUGAUCCAGCCAUACCGCGUGGGUGAAGAAGGCCUUCGGGUUGUAAAGCCCUUUUGUUGGGAAAGAAAAGCAGCAGGUUAAUACCCCGCUGUUCUGGCGGUACCCAAAGAAUAAGCACCGGCUAACUUCGUG